This 497-nucleotide ribosomal RNA is filed under the name uncultured bacterium. Its description in RNAcentral is "partial 16S ribosomal RNA". It matches the Rfam family "Bacterial small subunit ribosomal RNA", at positions 28 to 507 of the family's 1533-position model. The record is from RNAcentral.
GACGAACGCUGGCGGCGUGCUUAACACAUGCAAGUCGAACGGUGAAGCGCCUUCCUUUUUGGUGGGUGUGGAUGAGUGGCGAACGGGUGAGUAACACGUGAGUAACCUGCCCCCUUCUUCUGGAUAACCGCAUGUAAGUGUGGCUAAUACGGGAUAUUCUGGGCCUGUCGCCUGAUGGGUCUGGGAGAGCUAUUGUUUCGGUGGGGGAUGGGCUCGCGGCAGGUCAGCUAGUUGGUGGGGUGAUGGCCUACCAAGGCGGCGGUGAGUAGCCGCCCUGAGAGGAUGGUGGGCCAUCACGCUGGUGCUGAACGGCGGAGAAGACUACUGGGGGAGGCAGCGGGGGAUAAUGUUGAACGGGGGGAGGCCGGAUGAAGCAGCGACGCCGCGUGGGUGAAGGACGUCUUGGUGUUGAGAACCUCUUUCGCGAAUGAAAAAGGCUUGUUUCAUUUGGGAGUGUCUUGACGGUAGCUGAAGAAUAAGCGCCGGCUAACUACGUG